Podarcis lilfordi (Lilford's wall lizard) is the source of this 1167-nucleotide non-coding RNA. NCBI's taxonomy places the organism in Eukaryota, Metazoa, Chordata, Lepidosauria, Squamata, Lacertidae. The record is from the annotation of a GenBank genome assembly.
CCUUCAGAUAUGCUCAGACAAGAAUACCCCACAAGUACCCUGGAAAAAACUGGGACAUCCCAAUUUUUUUACCACGAAAGAACAGCAGCCAUUUGGGUUGCUGUGAUCUCUUACGUGAUUUCAUGGUGCUAAUUCCACACACACACACCCCAAACAAAAGCACUUGAGGGGCAGGGGGACUGAGGCAUGAAAUUGCACGAGAUCACAGCAACCCAGUCUUUGAGCUCAGGAAGAUGGCAUCUGGGAAUCUGGAUUCAAAGUAUUGGAAGGUAUGGACAAGCAGAUACAGUACUUUGAUUCCUGGUGCUGGCCUCUCCCUUCAUUCCACAUAGAGAAUACAAGUGGAUUGGAAGUUAACUCUUAUUCAACAGUGGUGAGAGGGUGGCAGCCUAGUUUAAGGGGUGCAUGGCAGAAUAUGUGGCACAUGCAACUCUGGCCUUCCCCCAUAAGGGAAUGGUAGGGUCUGCUCUGGCUUCCCUGCACAACACCUUCCAGUCCAUUCGUAAUUUGGCCCUUCAGUAUUUACACUGCUCUUCCAGAAGCCUUUUACUUGGUAUGGGGGGGAGUGUGAAAUCCCCAAAAAGGAUGUUACUUUUUUUCUGUAUGCCACAACAGCUGCGAGAAUAUUACUAUCGAAGAAUUGGAAGAAACAAGAUUUACCAACUAUCAAAGAAUGGCAGAUGAAGAUGAUGGACUAUAUGGAACUUGCCAAACUGACUGGGAGACUCCGGGACCAGAGAGAAGAGAUGGUGGAAGAAGAUUGGAAGAAGUUUAAAGAAUAUUUCAAAAAAAUAUGUUAAUACUUAAAUCUUAGAAUAGCUUUGGAAGUUGAUAUAGGCUGUAGGGUUAGAAGUAGAAGAUAGUGUAUUUUAAAAUAGUAUUAUAUGUAAGGAAUAAAACUUUUAUGGUAAAAGUAAGUGUGAUUUAAAAAAUGGUUUAAAAUUACGAUAUAUGUAAACUGCUAAAGAUGAGGUAAAAUGAAAAUCAGAUAGGGGGGACUUGGGGAAGCUCACCUAACAAUGUUUAGAAAAAAAUAAGGAUAAGACAAGAAUUUGUUUGUAUUGUUUGUUUUUUUCCUGUUUGUGUUGUUUAUUUGUGUUAUAAAAGGAAUAGCAUUUUUUGAAAAAGAAGUAUUUACACUGCUCUGAUUCUCUCACACCCCUAAAC